RNAcentral lists this ribosomal RNA (449 nucleotides) under uncultured bacterium. Its description in RNAcentral is "partial 16S ribosomal RNA". It matches the Rfam family "Bacterial small subunit ribosomal RNA", at positions 29 to 523 of the family's 1533-position model. The record is from RNAcentral.
AACGAACGCUGGCGGCAUGCCUAACACAUGCAAGUCGAACGGGAUCUUCGGGUCUAGUGGCGCACGGGUGCGUAACGCGUGGGAAUCUGCCCUUUGGUUCGCAAUAACAGUUGGAAACGACUGCUAAUACCGGAUGAUGACGAAAGUCCAAAGAUUUAUCGCCAGAGGAUGAGCCCGCGUAGGAUUAGCUAGUUGGUGUGGUAAAGGCGCACCAAGGCGACGAUCCUUAGCUGGUCUGAGAGGAUGAUCAGCCACACUGGGACUGAGACACGGCCCAGACUCCGACGGGAGGCAGCAGUGGGGAAUAUUGGACAAUGGGCGAAAGCCUGAUCCAGAAAUGCCGCGUGAGUGAUGAAGGCCUUAGGGUUGUAAAGCUCUUUUACCCGGGAUGAUAAUGACAGUACCGGGAGAAUAAGCUCCGGCUAACUCCGUGCCAGCCGCCGCCGUAA